Molecule: ribosomal RNA, 519 nt
Filed under: uncultured eukaryote
Lineage: Eukaryota
Description: SSU rRNA
Rfam family: Eukaryotic small subunit ribosomal RNA
Source: RNAcentral
AGGGCACCACCAGGAGUGGAGCCUGCGGCUUAAUUUGACUCAACACGGGGAAACUCACCCGGUCCGGACACUGUAAGGAUUGACAGAUCGAGAGCUCUUUCUUGAUUCGGUGGAUGGUGGUGCAUGGUCGUUCUUAGUUGGUGGAGUGAUUUGUCUGGUUAAUUCCGAUAACGAACGAGACUCUAGCCUGCUAACUAGUUGCGCCCUGUUCAUACGGGGCUGUAGACUUCUUAGAGGGACAGGUGGCGUUUAGCCACACGAAAUUGAGCAAUAACAGGUCUGUGAUGCCCUUAGAUGUCCGGGGCCGCACGCGCGCUACACUGAAGGAGUCAGCGUGUGCUAUCCGGGCUCGGAAGAGUUCGGUAACCCGUUGAAACUCCUUCGUGCUUGGGAUUGUGGCUUGUAAUUAUUGCGCAUGAACGAGGAAUUCCCAGUAAGUGCAAGUCAUCAGCUUGUGCUGACUACGUCCCUGCCCUUUGUACACACCGCCCGUCGCUACUACCGAUUGAAUGGUUUAGC